CUUUAUUUCAUUCUCAUUAAAACUUUGCUGAGAAAUCUAAGGUAUUGUCUAAGCUUCACAUCUAAAUAAAAUGAGUCAGGAUUAUUUAAUAUAACUAAGUAUGUUUUCUGUUUUUGUUUUCUGCAAAAAGGUUUAUUACAGGAAAAUUAAUGUACUGGUGUAGGGCCAUAUAUAUGGGAAAUUGAUGCCAUAUAUAUUUGUAUGAACAGAGAAAUAGAGAGGAUAUAAAGAAGCCAUUGUAAGGAACAUCCUCUACCAGUAUAGUUUGGCAUCUUCUAUUAUUGGAUGACUACUUAGAGGAUGAAGUGACUGAUCCAGGCUAAUAUAGCCAGUACAUGUCAGAAGAAAAACAUGAUCCCAGUUUGAUAACACCACCCAAGAGAAUUCAUCAGAAUCACGGCAGACCUGAGAAAGAACAUAAGAUGUGUUCAACUCCGGAAGAAUGUAGGUAUAGUUGGAUUCGGAUCACGUGAAAUCUUGAAUUUAAAGUGCAAUGGUCUCUUUUAUAAAUAAGAAAGAUAAAACCAAAAGUUCAGUAACUUUCCCAAAGUUACACACAUGGUAAAUGGAAGAACGAGAUUUCAAACCCUGGUCCUAAGUCCUCUGGAUCUCCAUCCAGGCUUCUUUCUGAUGAGAUCAUGUUUCUAUGUUGCCUUCAGGAACAGGGUCUGAGAAGCCACAGUGACAAAGAGUAGUAGAAGCUGUUGAUCAGUAAUAAAGACUACCUAUGAAAUGGGCUGCCA
Molecule: long non-coding RNA, 743 nt
Filed under: Monodelphis domestica (gray short-tailed opossum)
Lineage: Eukaryota; Metazoa; Chordata; Mammalia; Didelphimorphia; Didelphidae
Description: lncRNA (ENSMODG00000047725.1)
Source: RNAcentral